This 253-nucleotide ribosomal RNA is filed under the name uncultured bacterium. RNAcentral's name for it is "partial 16S ribosomal RNA". It matches the Rfam family "Bacterial small subunit ribosomal RNA", at positions 524 to 776 of the family's 1533-position model. The record is from RNAcentral.
UACGUAGGGUGCGAGCGUUGUCCGGAAUUAUUGGGCGUGAAGAGCUCGUAGGCGGCUUGUCACGUCGGUUGUGAAAGCCCGGGGCUUAACCCCGAGUCUGCAGUCGAUACGGGCAGGCUAGAGUUCGGUAGGGGAGAUCGGAAUUCCUGGUGUAGCGGUGAAAUGCGCAGAUAUCAGGAGGAACACCGGUGGCGAAGGCGGAUCUCUGGGCCGAUACUGACGCUGAGGAGCGAAAGCGUGGGGAGCGAACAGG